RNAcentral lists this ribosomal RNA (370 nucleotides) under uncultured bacterium. Its description in RNAcentral is "bacterial SSU rRNA". It matches the Rfam family "Bacterial small subunit ribosomal RNA", at positions 29 to 404 of the family's 1533-position model. The record is from RNAcentral.
AAUGAACGCUGGCGGCGUGCUUUACACAUGCAAGUUGAGCGAGGCCACCCGCAAGGGUGAGUCGAGCGGCGAACGGGUGAGUAACGCGUGGAUAACCUGCCCUGAGGUGGGGAAUAACCCGGGGAAACUCGGGCUAAUACCGCAUGAUACCAAGCGGUCAAAGGGGGCUCGCAAGAGCUCCUGCCACAGGAGGGGUCCGCGUUCGAUUAGCUAGUUGGUAGGGUAAUGGCCUACCAAGGCGACGAUCGAUAGCCGGCCUGAGAGGGUGAUCGGCCACACUGGAACUGAGACACGGUCCAGACUCCUACGGGAGGCAGCAGUGGGGAAUUUUGCGCAGUGGGCUAACGCCUGACGCAGCAACGCCGCGUGG